GCUGUAACUUGGUGUCAGGAAAGAGUUCAGGAAACCGUUGAGUUGAGUUGUGUUAGGAUUGUUGUGUCAGGACGAGAGGCUUGGGGUCGUCUGGAUCCUCACAUACAUUCUUAGUCUUGGGUGGUCUUCUGUGAUGGGAAAAACGGGUCUCACGUAACCCAGGGUGACCUUGAAAAGCUGCUUUUUUUUUUUUUUUGAAAUUUUUAAAUUUUGUGUCUGGGCAUUUUGCCUGCAUGCGUAUAUGCACACCAUGUGUGCUUGCUGCCCACACAGCUCAGAAGAGGCAUCAGACUCCCUGGAACUGAAGUUACAGAUGGCUGCGAGCCACUGGGAAUCACGUGUGGCUGCUGGGAAUCAAACCUGGGUCCUCUGCAAGAGCAACAGUGCCCUUAGCCGCCGAACCGUCGUGUCCCUCCAGUCCUGACCUCCCAAGUCUCCAGUUUCCUUUUCCGACCACUGGGAUUACAGGCAUGUGCCAUCAUGCCUGGUUUUAUGGAGAUUUUUACACCUGAAAUUUUCAUUGUUCUAAUAGCCAAAAGGACAUGAAAAGCUUUAGGAUCUUUGAUGUUAAUUAUACAAUUAUAUUAAUCUUGUGAACACUUAUUGAACUGUAUACAAAAGAUAUGGACAGUUUUCUGUGUGUGCAUUUUAUUUUAAUAAAACUUUAAAAGAG
RNAcentral lists this long non-coding RNA (673 nucleotides) under Rattus norvegicus (Norway rat). RNAcentral describes it as "long non-coding RNA NONRATT004487". Lineage: Eukaryota; Metazoa; Chordata; Mammalia; Rodentia; Muridae. The record is from RNAcentral.